AAAGAAACCAACAGGGAUUGCCUCAGUAACGGCGAGUGAAGCGGCAAAAGCUCAAAUUUGAAAGCCUCGGCAUUGUAAUUUCAAGGUAAUUUCUCGCAAGACCACUUAAGUCCAUUGGAACAUGGCGCCGUGGAGGGUGACAGCCCCGUAAAGUGUCAACGCAUCGAAAUUACCAAAGAGUCGAGUUGUUUGGGAAUGCAGCUCUAAGUGGGUGGUAAAUUCCAUCUAAAGCUAAAUAUUGGCGAGAGACCGAUAGCGAACAAGUACAGUGAUGGAAAGAUGAAAAGCACUUUGAAAAGAGAGUGAAACAGUACGUGAAAUUGUUGGAAGGGAAGGGCUUGCAAGCAGACAGGUUCGCCGGCCAGGACUUGUGGAGGAAGAGACAAAAAGCCUUGGGAGGGCGCCCUCGGGCUACUCCCUCGGAAACGCCUUCUCCCCUACAUCCCCUGGCGUAAUGCUUGUAAGCCGC
RNAcentral lists this ribosomal RNA (469 nucleotides) under uncultured Ascomycota. Its description in RNAcentral is "eukaryotic LSU rRNA". It matches the Rfam family "Eukaryotic large subunit ribosomal RNA", at positions 58 to 508 of the family's 3401-position model. The record is from RNAcentral. Lineage: Eukaryota; Fungi; Ascomycota.